Molecule: non-coding RNA, 880 nt
Filed under: Caenorhabditis japonica
Lineage: Eukaryota; Metazoa; Nematoda; Chromadorea; Rhabditida; Rhabditidae
Description: Eukaryotic small subunit ribosomal RNA
Rfam family: Eukaryotic small subunit ribosomal RNA
Source: Rfam by way of RNAcentral
GUGGACCGUAGUGAGACGCCCAAUAGCGAAAGCAUUUGCCAAGAAUGUCUUCAUUAAUCAAGAACGAAAGUCAGAGGUUCGAAGGCGAUUAGAUACCGCCCUAGUUCUGACCGUAAACGAUGCCAUCUCGCGAUUCGGAGGGUUCAUGCCCUACCGAGGAGCUACCCGGAAACGAAAGUCUUUCGGUUCCGGGGGUAGUAUGGUUGCAAAGCUGAAACUUAAAGAAAUUGACGGAAGGGCACCACAAGGCGUGGAGCUUGCGGCUUAAUUUGACUCAACACGGGAAAACUCACCCGGUCCGGACACUAUUAGGACUGACAGAUUGAAAGCUCUUUCUCGAUUUGGUGGUUGGUGGUGCAUGGCCGUUCUUAGUUGGUGGAGUGAUUUGUCUGGUUUAUUCCGAUAACGAGCGAGACUCUAGCCUGCUAAAUAGUCGACGAAUCUUCGGGUUCGUAUAACUUCUUAGAGGGAUAAGCGGUGUUUAGCCGCACGAGAUUGAGCGAUAACAGGUCUGUGAUGCCCUUAGAUGUCCGGGGCUGCACGCGUGCUACACUGGUGGAGUCAGCGGGUUUUUCCUAUGCCGAAAGGUAUCGGUAAACCGUUGAACUUCUUCCAUGUCCGGGAUAGGGUAUUGUAAUUAUUACCCUUAAACGAGGAAUGCCUAGUAAGUGUGAGUCAUCAGCUCACGUUGAUUACGUCCCUGCCCUUUGUACACACCGCCCGUCGCUAUCCGGGACUGAACUGAUUCGAGAAGAGUGAGGGACUGUGGCUGCGAGGUUUUACCACUUCGCAGUUGCGGAAACCAUUUUUAUCGCAUUGGUUUGAACCGGGUAAAAGUCGUAACAAGGUAGCUGUAGGUGAACCUGCAGCUGGAUCAUCG